GAUGAACGCUGGCGGCGUGCCUAAUACAUGCAAGUCGAGCGAACAGACGAGGAGCUUGCUCCUCUGACGUUAGCGGCGGACGGGUGAGUAACACGUGGAUAACCUACCUAUAAGACUGGGAUAACUUCGGGAAACCGGAGCUAAUACCGGAUAAUAUAUUGAACCGCAUGGUUCAAUAGUGAAAGACGGUUUUGCUGUCACUUAUAGAUGGAUCCGCGCCGCAUUAGCUAGUUGGUAAGGUAACGGCUUACCAAGGCAACGAUGCGUAGCCGACCUGAGAGGGUGAUCGGCCCCACUGGAACUGAGACACGGUCCAGACUCCUACGGGAGGCAGCAGUAGGGAAUCUUCCGCAAUGGGCGAAAGCUUGACGGAGCAACGCCGGGUGAGUGAUGAAGGUCUUCGGAUCGUAAAACUCUGUUAUUAGGGAAGAAAAAAUGUGUAAGUAACUAUGCACGGCUUGACGGUACCUAAUCAAAAAGCCACGGCUAACUACGUG
This 497-nucleotide ribosomal RNA is filed under the name uncultured bacterium. RNAcentral describes it as "partial 16S ribosomal RNA". It matches the Rfam family "Bacterial small subunit ribosomal RNA", at positions 28 to 507 of the family's 1533-position model. The record is from RNAcentral.